GCCCAUAAGUACACCGCCCGGUGGUAAGCACGACACUUGGUAUCACCCUUUAGCAUUGCCGCUUGAGCAUCCUCCAGAGAUUCCACUGAAGAGUCCACUGCCCGGCGGUGGGUUGCACCACCCGACGGUAUGUGCGAUUCUCAUCUCACCCCUUGGCGGUGCCCCUUAAGUGUGUGGUAGAGGAUGCAUUGAAGGUCACACCACCCGGCGGUGGCUACGAUUCUUCUUUUCUUCAACUUUCCACUUUCUUUUGCAUCCAACACUUCUCUUCCUUCACUUCUUUCAUCAAACUCC
RNAcentral lists this long non-coding RNA (294 nucleotides) under Vigna radiata. RNAcentral describes it as "long non-coding RNA (VRAD_LNC006508)". Lineage: Eukaryota; Viridiplantae; Streptophyta; Magnoliopsida; Fabales; Fabaceae. The record is from RNAcentral.